UGGAGGAAUACCCAAGUCCGGCUGAAGGGAUCGGUCUUGAAAACCGACAGGGGCUUAACGGUUCGCGGGGGUUCGAAUCCCUCUUCCUCCGU
This 92-nucleotide transfer RNA is filed under the name Staphylococcus aureus. Its description in RNAcentral is "tRNA-Ser(tga)". It matches the Rfam family "tRNA". Rfam says of the family: Transfer RNA (tRNA) molecules are approximately 80 nucleotides in length. Their secondary structure includes four short double-helical elements and three loops (D, anti-codon, and T loops). Further hydrogen bonds mediate the characteristic L-shaped molecular structure. tRNAs have two regions of fundamental functional importance: the anti-codon, which is responsible for specific mRNA codon recognition, and the 3' end, to which the tRNAs corresponding amino acid is attached (by aminoacyl-tRNA synthetases). tRNAs cope with the degeneracy of the genetic code in two manners: having more than one tRNA (with a specific anti-codon) for a particular amino acid; and 'wobble' base-pairing, i.e. permitting non-standard base-pairing at the 3rd anti-codon position. The record is from RNAcentral. Lineage: Bacteria; Bacillati; Bacillota; Bacilli; Caryophanales; Staphylococcaceae.